This 497-nucleotide ribosomal RNA is filed under the name uncultured bacterium. RNAcentral's name for it is "partial 16S ribosomal RNA". It matches the Rfam family "Bacterial small subunit ribosomal RNA", at positions 28 to 507 of the family's 1533-position model. The record is from RNAcentral.
GAUGAACGCUGGCGGCGUGCCUAAUACAUGCAAGUCGAGCGAACAGACGAGGAGCUUGCUCCUCUGACGUUAGCGGCGGACGGGUGAGUAACACGUGGAUAACCUACUUAUAAGACUGGGAUAACUUCGGGAAACCGGAGCUAAUACCGGAUAAUAUAUUGAACCGCAUGGUUCAAUAGUGAAAGACGGUUUUGCUGUCUCUUAUAGAUGGAUCCGCGCCGCAUUAGCUAGUUGGUAAGGUAACGGCUUACCAAGGCAACGAUGCGUAGCCGACCUGAGAGGGUGAUCGGCCACACUGGAACUGAGACACGGUCCAGACUCCUACGGGAGGCAGCAGUAGGGAAUCUUCCGCAAUGGGCGAAAGCCUGACGGAGCAACGCCGCGUGAGUGAUGAAGGUCUUCGGAUCGUAAAGCUCUGUUAUUGGGGAAGAACAAAUGUGGAAGUAACUAUGCACGUCUUGACGGUACCUAAUCAGAAAGCCACGGCUAACUACGUG